RNAcentral lists this ribosomal RNA (406 nucleotides) under uncultured bacterium. RNAcentral describes it as "partial 16S ribosomal RNA". It matches the Rfam family "Bacterial small subunit ribosomal RNA", at positions 30 to 526 of the family's 1533-position model. The record is from RNAcentral.
AUUGAACGCUGGCGGCAGGCCUUACACAUGCAAGUCGAACGAGUGGCGGACGGGUGAGUAAUGUCUGGGCAACUGCCCGAUGGAGGGGGAUAACUACUGGAAACGGUAGCUCAUACCGCAUACCAUCGGAUGUGCCCCGAUCGGAUUAGCACGUAGGUGGGGUAACGGCUCACCUAGGCGACGAUCCCUAGCUGGUCUGAGAGUAUGACCAGCCACACGGGAACUGAGACACGGUCCAGACUCCUACGGGAGGCAGCAGUGGGGAAUAUUGCACAAUGGGCGAAAGCCUGAUGCAGCCAUGCCGCGUGUAUGAAGAAGGCCUUCGGGUUGUAAAGUACUUUCGGCGAGGAGGCGGUAUUCGCAGAAUAAGCACCGGCUAACUCCGUGCCAGCAGCCGCGGUAAUUC